This 465-nucleotide ribosomal RNA is filed under the name uncultured bacterium. Its description in RNAcentral is "partial 16S ribosomal RNA". It matches the Rfam family "Bacterial small subunit ribosomal RNA", at positions 28 to 507 of the family's 1533-position model. The record is from RNAcentral.
GACGAACGCUGGCGGCGUGCUUAACACAUGCAAGUCGUACGGUAAGGCCCUUUCUGGGGUACACGAGUGGCGAACGGGUGAGUAACACGUGAGUAACCUGCCCACAACUUUGGGAUAACGCUAGGAAACUGGUGCUAAUACUGGAUAUGUGCUCCUGCUGCAUGGUGGGGGUUGGAAAGCUCCGGCGGUUGUGGAUGGACUCGCGGCCUAUCAGCUUGUCGGUGGGGUAGUGGCCUACCAAGGCGGCGACGGGUAGCCGGCCUGAGAGGGUGACCGGCCACAUUGGGACUGAGAUACGGCCCAGACUCCUACGGGAGGCAGCAGUGGGGAAUAUUGCACAAUGGGCGCAAGCCUGAUGCAGCAACGCCGCGUGCGGGAUGACGGCCUUCGGGUUGUAAACCGCUUUCAGCAGGGACGAAGCUUUUUGUGACGGUACCUGCAGAAGAAGCACCGGCUAACUACGUG